This is a long non-coding RNA of Mus musculus (house mouse), 1533 nucleotides long. RefSeq annotates it as predicted gene, 31831. The record is from RefSeq and is a predicted model, not a curated record. The transcript is spliced from 8 exons. NCBI's taxonomy places the organism in Eukaryota, Metazoa, Chordata, Mammalia, Rodentia, Muridae.
AUACAAUGUGAAGAGUGGUGUCUUUGACUCUUUUGUCUAUUCCUGAGAUUACUUACCUACUACUGGGUUGCUGUAGAAAUGAGCUAAUCUGUGUGCCUUUCAUCAGAGGAUCAAGGAUCUGAGAUAGCUCCUGGGCAGGUGUGUACCUGCACCAGGAACUCAAAGUGGAAUAGCCAAAAACAAUCCCCUACAAAUGGCACUUAAUGUGGAAGAGGUCAGUCGGAUGAUCCUGGGCCAGAAGGCUGAAGAGUGAUGCUUCAAUGUUUUGAAGGACACUGCCUUGACCAAUGUUUGAGUUUGAGAAGCUAUGUUUGGGGCUUCCUACAUACUCAGGAAAUAUUUAGUUCUUUCUCAGAGUUCUGAUGAGAUCUCUGACUCUUGAUUGAAAACUUGGAUGAAGACAUUCCUAUGCACUGAAAGAAGCAGCUUCUCUGAGGUUAUCUGAGUAAGACACUGCUCUGUGCAUAUAGCAGUAUGGCAUUGUGGGUCAUUUUGUUGCCCCUUUCCUCAGGAGAAUGAUAAUAUUUAGAUCCCCUACUUCCCCUGCCCAUAACUGAUCUCAUCUCAGCUUCUUGACCAGUUUGGUGUCCAUCUUAUGAAGUCUUGCACUUAAUGUGAUGGUGGCCAGCAGCAACUACAUCUGUAGAACUGUGAUAAAACAGGUCUGCUUUAUAAAUGUAGGAACCACUUCCUCUGAACAUUCUUUCUGCUAACUUCUUUGAUCUUCUCCAUCCUUCAAGAGAAGAUGAUGAAGACCGAGAUGAUUUCAAGUGCUCUCCUUCAUACUUAAGCUGCUAAUGCCAGGAAAGACGCAACAAAUCGGAAUCUUCUGCGGCAAAAGCUUUAUUGCUUACAUCUUCAGGAGCAAGAGCGAGAAUGGGGAAACCCCAUCCCUUUUAAGGAGAAUUAUCCUCCGCCUAGGACGUGUCGCUCCCUGAUUGGCUGCAGCCCAUUGGCCGAGUUGUCGUCACGGGGAAGGCAGAGCACAUGGAGUGGAGAACUACCCUUGGCACAUGCGCAGGUAUUUUUCCCUGACCCAAACUCUUGCGCGCACCUGACUAGACCAGCAAGAACGACACUGCAACAGGAUCCUUCUGCACACGUUUAUUGGGAGAGCUUGAUUGCAGAGGCGAAAAGACUUCGAGCCCAGAACUGGUGCUGCUUUUAUAGGCCUAGGAGAGGCGUGUCUCAUACCCGGAUUGGUUAUGCACUAAGCCUCAUUUGCAUGUUCCUCAUCUGAUUGGCUACUCUCUCUCAGUACCUCACAGAGCCUCAUUAUCAUACCUCAUUUGCAUGUCUCACAUCCGAUUGGUUACUCUUAGUACCUUACAGAACCUCAUUAUCAUACCUGGGCCAGGCAGUGUCUUUGCAAAAAACUUUACUGCAUAUGUACACAUUGGUUGUUUGUCCAAUCUUAUGCGUGGUGGCCAGCAGUAGUCAGGGCCACUCAGCAACGGCACAUGUGGCUUCCCACAUCUCCCCCUAUUUGCUUUAAUAAAAUAAGGCUGGACUAGGCCUGUGCAAUUAUGCCCA